RNAcentral lists this ribosomal RNA (867 nucleotides) under uncultured eukaryote. RNAcentral describes it as "SSU rRNA". It matches the Rfam family "Eukaryotic small subunit ribosomal RNA", at positions 574 to 1467 of the family's 1831-position model. The record is from RNAcentral.
CCGCGGUAAUUCCAGCUCCAAUAGCGUAUAUUAAAGUUGUUGCAGUUAAAAAGCUCGUAGUUGGAUCUCGGGUCCGGGCUCGCGGUCCACCUCGCGGUGGUUACUGCCCGUCCCGACCUACCUACCGGUUUUCCCUUGGUGCUCUUAACUGAGUGUCUCGGGUGGCCGGAACGUUUACUUUGAAAAAAUUAGAGUGUUCAAAGCAGGCGCUUCGCCUGAAUAAUGUUGCAUGGAAUAAUGGAAUAGGACCUCGGUUCUAUUUUGUUGGUUUUCGGAACUCGAGGUAAUGAUUAAGAGGGACAGACGGGGGCAUUCGUAUGAUGGUGUUAGAGGUGAAAUUCUUGGAUCGCCGUCAGACGAACUACUGCGAAAGCAUUUGCCAAGAAUGUUUUCAUUAAUCAAGAACGAAAGUCAGAGGUUCGAAGACGAUCAGAUACCGUCCUAGUUCUGACCAUAAACGAUGCCGACUAGCGAUCCGCCGGAGUUGUUUCAAUGACCCGGCGGGCAGCUUCCGGGAAACCAAAGUCUUUGGGUUCCGGGGGAAGUAUGGUUGCAAAGCUGAAACUUAGAGGAAUUGACGGAAGGGCACCACCAGGAGUGGAGCCUGCGGCUUAAUUUGACUCAACACGGGAAAGCUUACCCGGCCCGGACACCGUAAGGAUUGACAGAUUGAGAGCUCUUUCUUGAUUCGGUGGGUGGUGGUGCAUGGCCGUUCUUAGUUGGUGGAGCGAUUUGUCUGGUUAAUUCCGAUAACGAACGAGACUCUAGCCUAUUAAAUAGUUCGCCGAUUUCGAUCUGUCGGCGUUAACUUCUUAGAGGGACAAGUGGCUUUUAGCCACGCGAGAUUGAGCAAUAACAGGUCUGUGA